GUGCCUAUAGCUCAGCUGGAUAGAGCAACGGCCUUCUAAGCCGUGGGUCGCAGGUUCGAAUCCUGCUAGGCACG
This 74-nucleotide transfer RNA is filed under the name Lachnospiraceae bacterium. Its description in RNAcentral is "tRNA-Arg". It matches the Rfam family "tRNA". Rfam says of the family: Transfer RNA (tRNA) molecules are approximately 80 nucleotides in length. Their secondary structure includes four short double-helical elements and three loops (D, anti-codon, and T loops). Lineage: Bacteria; Bacillati; Bacillota; Clostridia; Lachnospirales; Lachnospiraceae. RNAcentral also lists the same sequence under 1 other name. The record is from RNAcentral.